This 199-nucleotide long non-coding RNA is filed under the name Elaeis guineensis (African oil palm). RNAcentral's name for it is "long non-coding RNA (EGUI_LNC071885)". The record is from RNAcentral. Lineage: Eukaryota; Viridiplantae; Streptophyta; Magnoliopsida; Arecales; Arecaceae.
GUCCGAGGAAAGGCCCAGAUGCUGUCACGUGUCAAAAUCCGAGAGACCCUCGUUGGUCGUGCUGUCAUCCUGGCCGUCGAGGGGCACUAUAUAUAUAGGGUCACUUGUAUCCAAAACUCCACUUUUCACAGCCCUGUUGUCGAGACUCUGGUCGAGUGGUCCCCCAGUUCCAAGUUCCAGGUAGUUGUGCCUAUCUCCC